This 370-nucleotide long non-coding RNA is filed under the name Medicago truncatula (barrel medic). RNAcentral's name for it is "long non-coding RNA (MTRU_LNC002052)". The record is from RNAcentral. Lineage: Eukaryota; Viridiplantae; Streptophyta; Magnoliopsida; Fabales; Fabaceae.
CGACGGCGACGGGCUGGUAAGACCUCGUCUAGUGAAUCGGUGUCAUCAUAAAGAGGACGUCCCCUUUUAGCCUGAUGAUUCUUUGGUAAGUCCUCAUGUAGCGAAUCCUCAUCAUUAUCAUAGUGAGGAUGUAGCUUUUUAGCUUGACGUUGCUUUGGUAAAACCCCAUCUGGCAGAUCGUCAUCAUCAUCAUAGCGAGGCUGCCCCCUUUCAGCUUGAUGAUUCUUUGGUAAGUCCUCAUGUAACGAAUCCCCAUCAUUAUCAUAGUGAGGAUGACGCUUUUUAGCUUGAGGUUGCUUUGGUAAAACCCCAUCUAACAAAUUGUCUUCGACAUCAUAGUGAGAACGUCCCCUUUUAGCUUGAUGAUUCU